RNAcentral lists this ribosomal RNA (460 nucleotides) under uncultured bacterium. RNAcentral's name for it is "partial 16S ribosomal RNA". It matches the Rfam family "Bacterial small subunit ribosomal RNA", at positions 338 to 795 of the family's 1533-position model. The record is from RNAcentral.
CCUACGGGGGGCAGCAGUGAGGAAUAUUGGUCAAUGGACGAGAGUCUGAACCAGCCAAGUAGCGUGAAGGAUGACUGCCCUAUGGGUUGUAAACUUCUUUUAUAUGGGAAUAAAAUGUUCCACGUGUGGGAUUUUGUAUGUACCAUAUGAAUAAGGAACGGCUAACUCAGUGCCAGCAGCCGCGGUAAUACGGAGGAUCCGAGCGUUAUCCGGAUUUAUUGGGUUUAAAGGGAGCGUAGGUGGAUUGUUAAGUCAGUUGUGAAAGUUUGCGGCUCAACCGUAAAAUUGCAGUUGAAACUGGCAGUCUUGAGUACAGUAGAGGUGGGCGGAAUUCGUGGUGUAGCGGUGAAAUGCUUAGAUAUCACGAAGAACUCCGAUUGCGAAGGCAGUUCACUGGACUGCAACUGACACUGAGGCUCGAAAGUGUGGGUAUCAAACAGGAUUAGAUACCCCUGUAGUC